UUGGUUUAUGUUUCAUUUACUUUUGGAAUUGCUUCCUAUGGUAAGUUCAACAAUCAAUUCGUGGCUCUUUCUCACGGCCCAAUGGCUUUUUAGACCAUUAGAGGACUGUGGGAUCGAAAUAGAAUGGGUUUUGUACAAAGGGACUUUGGCCUAAGCCGCCAUCCCAAUUUACAGGUUCAGUUCGCGGGACACAAAUAGCUCCCCUUCCCCCAAUUGGAAAAAGGGAAGCUAAAUGCUAAAGUUUUAGGGUGUGGUAAUGAUCCUUCCGCAGGUUCACCUACGGAAA
RNAcentral lists this unclassified non-coding RNA (286 nucleotides) under uncultured fungus. RNAcentral's name for it is "sequence contains ITS1". The record is from RNAcentral. Lineage: Eukaryota; Fungi.